UACGGAGGGUGCAAGCGGUAUUCGGAAUUAUUGGGCGUAAAGGGCGCGUAGGCGGCUUUAUAAGUCUGAUGUGAAAGCCCGGGGCUUAACUCCGGAAGUGCAUUGGAUACUGUAAGGCUUGAGUAUGGGAGAGGGUAGCGGAAUUCCUGGUGUAGAGGUGAAAUUCGUAGAUAUCAGGAGGAACACCGGUGGCGAAGGCGGCUACCUGGCCCAAUACUGACGCUGAGGCGCGAAGGCGUGGGGAGCAAACAGG
Molecule: ribosomal RNA, 253 nt
Filed under: uncultured bacterium
Lineage: Bacteria
Description: partial 16S ribosomal RNA
Rfam family: Bacterial small subunit ribosomal RNA
Source: RNAcentral